This is a long non-coding RNA of Sinocyclocheilus grahami, 482 nucleotides long. RefSeq lists it as uncharacterized. The transcript is spliced from 3 exons. NCBI's taxonomy places the organism in Eukaryota, Metazoa, Chordata, Actinopteri, Cypriniformes, Cyprinidae. The record is from RefSeq and is a predicted model, not a curated record.
CCUGAACUGAGAGACUGAAGAGUGUCAUUGUUCUCUACAGGUUGAGGGAUUGUGGAGUCACAGAUGAAGGUUGUGCUGCUCUGGCUUCAGCGCUGAGAUCAAACCCCUCACACCUGAGAUAUCUGGAUCUGUCUGGAAAUAAACUAGGAGCGUCAGAUGUGAAGCUGCUCUCUGAUCUGAAGGAUGAUCCACAUUAUAAACUGAAGAUGCUAGACUUUAAGAUGUUAGUCUGACCGUCUCUGAUCGCUGAUGGUGAAUAAAGAGCCGCUACAGACAGACAUCACAUUCAACAGAAUCAACAGACACACACCCACAGUGAUCAUCACACACACGUGUUUGUGCAGCUUUACAGAAUCAUGCAAUUCAUGAUUAGAAAUCAGACGAGGAAAACUUCUGACUUUUUCCUCCGAAGUGACUUUUGUACUGGUGCCACAUUUUACAUAAUAAUAUUGCCAGUUUUUGUGACAGUAUGUGUAUUUUCU